This 185-nucleotide unclassified non-coding RNA is filed under the name Glomus sp. RNAcentral describes it as "partial contains 5.8S ribosomal RNA and internal transcribed spacer 2". The stretch from base 1 to 65 matches the Rfam family "5.8S ribosomal RNA", at positions 84 to 154 of the family's 154-position model. The record is from RNAcentral. Lineage: Eukaryota; Fungi; Glomeromycota; Glomeromycetes; Glomerales; Glomeraceae.
GUGAAUCAUCGAAUUUUUGAACGCAAAUUGCACUCUCUUCGGAGAGUAUGCCUGUUUGAGGGUCAGCCUAAAAAAAAUCGACAUCGUUGCUGUUUCGCGGUGGCGUUCGUCGGAAAUUGGGUUAUCUUAAAUCUUUGUUUUAUGCGAGUUAUAAUAUUCCUUUUUAUUCCAUGAACGUUUCCUAG